AUACCUACGGGAGGCAGCAGUAGGGAAUCUUCCACAAUGGACGAAAGUCUGAUGGAGCAACGCCGCGUGAGUGAAGAAGGGUUUCGGCUCGUAAAACUCUGUUGGUAGUGAAGAAAGAUAGGGGUAGUAACUGGCCUUUAUUUGACGGUAAUUACUUAGAAAGUCACGGCUAACUACGUGCCAGCAGCCGCGGUAAUACGUAGGUGGCAAGCGGUGUCCGGAUUUUUUGGGCGUAAAGCGAGUGCAGGCGGUGUCAUAAAUCGU
This 264-nucleotide ribosomal RNA is filed under the name uncultured bacterium. RNAcentral describes it as "partial 16S ribosomal RNA". It matches the Rfam family "Bacterial small subunit ribosomal RNA", at positions 335 to 591 of the family's 1533-position model. The record is from RNAcentral.